This 493-nucleotide ribosomal RNA is filed under the name uncultured bacterium. RNAcentral's name for it is "partial 16S ribosomal RNA". It matches the Rfam family "Bacterial small subunit ribosomal RNA", at positions 28 to 507 of the family's 1533-position model. The record is from RNAcentral.
GACGAACGCUGGCGGCGUGCUUAACACAUGCAAGUCGAACGGUGAAGGGACCGGUUUUUGCUGGUUCUGGAUGAGUGGCGAACGGGCGAGUAACACGUGAGUAACCUGCCCCCUUCUUCUGGAUAACCGCAUGAAAGUGUGGCUAAUACGGGAUAUUCUGCGCCUGCUGCAUGGUGGGUGUGGGAAAGAUAUUGUUUCGGUGGGGGAUGGGCUCGCGGCCUAUCAGCUUGUUGGUGGGGUGAUGGCCUACCAAGGCGGUGACGGGUAGCCGGCCUGAGAGGGUGGACGGUCACACUGGGACUGAGACACGGCCCAGACUCCUACGGGAGGCAGCAGUGGGGAAUAUUGCACAAUGGGCGCAAGCCUGAUGCAGCGACGCCGCGUGAGGGAUGGAGGCCUUCGGGUUGUAAACCUCUUUCGCCAGUGAAGCAGGCCUGUCCCUUUUGUGGGUGGGUUGACGGUAGCUGGAUAAGAAGCGCCGGCUAACUACGUG